GACGAACGCUGGCGGCGUGCUUAACACAUGCAAGUCGAACGGAAAGGCACUGCUUUUGUGGGGUGAUCGAGUGGCGAACGGGUGAGUAACACGUGAGUAACCUGCCCUUGACUUUGGGAUAACUUCAGGAAACUGGGGCUAAUACCGGAUAGGAGCUCCUGCUGCAUGGUGGGGGUUGGAAAGUUUCGGCGGUUGGGGAUGGACUCGCGGCUUAUCAGCUUGUUGGUGGGGUAGUGGCUUACCAAGGCUUUGACGGGUAGCCGGCCUGAGAGGGUGACCGGCCACAUUGGGACUGAGAUACGGCCCAGACUCCUACGGGAGGCAGCAGUGGGGAAUAUUGCACAAUGGGCGGAAGCCUGAUGCAGCAACGCCGCGUGCGGGAUGACGGCCUUCGGGUUGUAAACCGCUUUCGCCUGUGACGAAGCGUGAGUGACGGUAAUGGGUAAAGAAGCACCGGCUAACUACGUG
Molecule: ribosomal RNA, 468 nt
Filed under: uncultured bacterium
Lineage: Bacteria
Description: partial 16S ribosomal RNA
Rfam family: Bacterial small subunit ribosomal RNA
Source: RNAcentral